Molecule: non-coding RNA, 2136 nt
Organism: Taeniopygia guttata (zebra finch)
Lineage: Eukaryota; Metazoa; Chordata; Aves; Passeriformes; Estrildidae
Source: RefSeq, a predicted model, not a curated record
GCAAAUGUGGGCACCAAAGGCAGGGGGAAUGUCCUCAAUGAGCUGUAGGACAGCCUGGGCCACCAAGCUCCAGGAGUGGGACAGCUGCUGGCAGCCCAUGGCAGCCACUCCGCUCUGUCCCUCAGGCCAGUGACACCAAAGGCACUCUGCAGUGACCUGGGCAGGACAGAGAGCCCCUGGGAGCCUGUGCGGUGGAAUGGGGUCUUUGGGCAGGACAGAGAGCCCCCGGGAACCUGUGCGGUGGGGUGGGGUCCUUGGGCAGGACAUGUGAGUGCCAGAGCAGGAACCUCCUUUUCCAUUGGUGUGCUGGAGAGUAAGGCUGCCCUCCAUGGGGACCUAGGCAAGCUGCAGACCUGGUUUGAUGGGAACUUGGGGGACAUGGAGAGAUGCCAGGGAAAGGAGCUGGGGAAGGAGCCUGCUCUGCAGUAUGGUGACUGGCCAUCACCAGCAGGAGCCCUGUGGGAAAGGGCCUGGGCAGGCAGGGGACAUCCAGAUGUGUGGUGGACAAAGGGAGCUCGAGUGUGCAGUGUGCCCUGGAGGCAGCAGAACUGGGCUGCAUUCGGUGCUGUGGUACCAGAGCCACAGGCAGCAGCUUAAGGCAUGUGACAGCCCCUCUGCACAGCUUCACCUGGAGGAACGUGUCCAGCCUGGGGCUUCUGGUGAGAGAGAGACCAACAAAUGGGAAUAAGUCUGGGAGAAGGUCAAAAGGUGGUCAAAAAAUGAGCAUAUUGUGUUCAGGAAAGUGAGGUGGGUCUGUUGAGCCCAGAGAAGGCCACUGUCCUCAAGUGCCUAACCUGGGGUCACAGGGAAGAGAGAUUGAUGUUUCUCAGAGAAGCACCAUGAGAGGAUGAGAGUAGGCAGCCAGGAGCUGCAGGAAAGUAUAUUGUGAACAUACAGAUGAAAAAAAGUUUUGAAGUGAUAGUGGGUAAUGCCUGCAUUGCUGGUUGCCAUGCUUGGAAGGUUAUUGCAAUAUCCACUCUUGAGUAGUAGUGGAAUAGGUGACCUCCAGAAGACCUGUCAUGUUAAAUGAAUCAAUAAUUCUAAAAGAUAAUAAAGUCUGCUGAAAAAUCAAAAGUAAUCAUUGUAUUACAGGGCAAUUAACAGCUGAUGGAGACUUUACAGCAGUAAAUACUGACUGAUGAUUCACAACACAGUGGGCACCUGCUAUGCCUGAAAAAAUGAAGACAAACAUCUUGCCUGCAACAGGCUGAAGAAGGAGAACUGAAAGGAGGAUGUACCUGGAAAGGAAAGAUGAACAGUGAUGCCAUUCUCCUCAAACAGCUGAGUGUCCUGGCUACAGCUUUUGGGAAUUUUGGAUGCUUGGCUUCUCUGAUCUUUGGCACUUAUCCUGCAGCUCAUGACUCUGAUGCAGUCAGCCCACAGGCAGGGCUGCCUUGGUGUGGUACAACCUGGAGCCAUACAUUAGCUGAUCUCUAUGAAGUAUGGACAGGUAUUAUAAAGAGAAAAAAAAAUCAAAUUGUAACAGUAGAGCAGUUUGACUGAUUUUCUUAUUUCUGUGUACUGUUAAGAAGGCAUGACACUUGGUCUGCAUAUACUGCUGAUAGAGGGAUUUUCCCCAUAUUUCCUGGGACUGAUCUUAUUUCUAGCAGCAUUGAAACAAGCUAAACAAAUAAAAUGUUUCUGCUGUGUUGAAACUCACUUUUCAAAGUUAAACCUUGGAAUAACAUGACUGACUAGUGUCCCUUUAGAUUAUAAAGAAGUCAAAAAAUUAACACCACCACUUCCCAGGAGAAAUGCUUUUCUUCUUGGCACUGAUUGAAAGUAUACAGGGUGAAUGUGAAGCUCCAAAGAAAUCUCUGUGUAGGCAUUGUAAGGAAUUGAGAGCUGCUGCCAAGCAUUUCUGCAGCUCCCACAGAGACUUCAUACCAGGAGGACAACAACAGACCAAAGAAAAGCUCAGUAGAGCUUGUCACACCUGGAACAGCUGAAUGUAGGUUUAUAAUAGAAAUAUUCAGUCUGCUAAAAAACUUUCAGAUUGAUUAAAAGAAAAACAUAAACAAAAGGAAGGUAAAAUAUGAUUUACUGUUGCAUGCAAACUUCACACUGAGCGUCCUUCUCUUGUCUUCUUUUUUAGAUGCAUUUUUAUGUACUGAAAAUAAUUUUUAAUAUUCUCAA